Molecule: ribosomal RNA, 253 nt
Filed under: uncultured bacterium
Lineage: Bacteria
Description: partial 16S ribosomal RNA
Rfam family: Bacterial small subunit ribosomal RNA
Source: RNAcentral
AACGUAGGACGCAAGCGUUAUCCGGAGUUACUGGGCGUAAAGCGCGGGCAGGCGGCGGUCUAAGUCCGAUGUGAAAGCUCCCGGCUCAACCGGGAGAGGCCAUGGGAAACUAGGUCGCUGGAGGGCAGUAGAGGUAGGCGGAAUUCCGGGUGGAGUGGUGAAAUGCGUAGAGAUCCGGAGGAACACCAGAGGCGAAGGCGGCCUACUGGGCUGCACCUGACGCUGAGCCGCGAAAGCCAGGGGAGCGAACGGG